UGGGGAAUAUUGCACAAUGGUCGCAAGCCUGAUGCAGCCAUGCCGCGUGUAUGAAGAAGGCCUUCGGGUUGUAAAGUACUUUCCGUCGGUAGAAAGGUGUCAAGGUUAAUAACCUUGGCAAUUGACGUUACCGACAGAAGAAGCACCGGCUAACUCCGUGCCAGCAGCCGCGGUAAUACGGAGGGUGCAAGCGUUAAUCGGAAUUACUGGGCGUAACGCGCACGCAGGCGGUUGAUUGAGUCAGAUGUGAAAUCCCCGGGCUUAACCCGGGAGUUGCAUCUGAUACUGGUCAGAUCGAGGCUUGUAGAGGGGGGUAGAAUUCCAUGUGUAGCGGUGAAAUGCGUAGAGAUGUGGAGGAAUACCGGUGGCGAAGGCGGCCCCCUGGACAAAGACUGACGCUCAGGUGCGAAAGCGUGGGGAGCAAACAGG
RNAcentral lists this ribosomal RNA (429 nucleotides) under Chloroflexota bacterium. RNAcentral describes it as "Chloroflexi bacterium partial 16S ribosomal RNA". It matches the Rfam family "Bacterial small subunit ribosomal RNA", at positions 355 to 776 of the family's 1533-position model. Lineage: Bacteria; Bacillati; Chloroflexota. The record is from RNAcentral.